This 236-nucleotide unclassified non-coding RNA is filed under the name Hevea brasiliensis (rubber tree). Lineage: Eukaryota; Viridiplantae; Streptophyta; Magnoliopsida; Malpighiales; Euphorbiaceae. The record is from RNAcentral.
AUUCGGUUUGGUUCGGAACCGAACUGGCCGAAUGCUCUCCCCUAAUAGAUAUACUCUUCUUAAUGUUAUACAGUUACUGAUUAUCUACAAAUGGCCAUUAAAGUUCUUUCUGAACUAACCCAUCAUCAAGAAGGCAUAGAGAUAUAUAAAUCUUUUCUUGAACAAAACCUCAUAUAAAGAUCCAUCUAGUUAUAUAAAUCCAAUACCAAUAGAAAUUAACAAAAAUAGCAUGCUUA